ACAUCUCUUGGAGUUCUAGCUCACCUUUCUGGUGUUGUUCUUGUACUCAUCUGUUUAAUCUAGUUCUAUCACUUCUUCUUGAACUUCUUGUUAGAUUUCAAGUCUGUAUUUUGUGUCCGUGACAGUUUGUUGAGACUACACUAACUUGAGAUAUCAGAGCUAGUUCUUUCUUAGUAGAGUGUGGAUUACCCCUCUACUUGAAGGUAUACUAGCAUUUUUUAGAGGUUGCAGAUUACCCUCCUCUAAACUGAUACUUCUUCUGUUACAAUAUUGGAGUCUUAUUCUUCUUGGAGAGAGUGGAUUACCCCUCUUCUUGAAAUUCUUAAGGCAUUUUAUAGGUUGUGGAUUACCCUCCUAUAAACCAAUAUUGCCUCUUAUAGGGUCAUUUUUGUCCUUGUUUUAGAAUGACCGGAGGUCAAGACAUUAGUAUGACAGAAAGUUCGGAGUCUAAGUUAGAUGCUAUUAUAAAUGCCCUCGCUACGUUAUCACAAAGAAUUGCAGAGAUUGAAGGAGUGGUGGCAAGGCUUCAUAAUGAUGGAGUAUCUGGGAUAGCACAAUCUAAACUGCACCAGCCUCAAACUUCUGCACUUGGAGAAACAACUUUACCUCAGGUUCGACAAGAACCACUAGUUCUACAACAUAAGGAGCCUCGAGUUAGCCUUCCAGAUAAGUUUGAUGGAACACGUUCCAAGUUUCGAGGAUUCGUCAAUCAAAUCAGGUUGAUAACAGUUUUACAGCCCGAACGAUAUCCAACGGAGGAGUCACGUGUUGGACUUGUUGGAACCUUACUUACGGGUCAAGUUCUAUCAUGGUUUGCUCCUUUAUUUGAGAAACGAUCAUCCAUAUUAAACAACUUCGAAACCUUUUUGGAAGCAUUUGCGGAAGCAUUUGGUGAACACGAUAAGGUUCGAUGGGCUACAACAAAGAUCCGGUCGCUACGACAGGGGAUGCGUUCUAUAUCAGUCUAUGCUUCGGAUUUCAGGCAAUUAGUAUGCGACAUCAAUUGGGAUGAAGAAGCGUUGAUGAGUCAAUUCUAUUGGGAUUUAAGAGAUGAUGUGAAGGAUUUGCUGUUAACUCUUCCUGAUCCAAGAACGCUCAAUGAAGCCAUUAGCCAAGCUGUGAAGUGCGAUAAUCGCCUAUUCCAACGUCGCCAAGACCAACGCUCAAGACAACAUACAAUUUGCCAUGCUCCAACUAUGUCGGCAAGCAGUAUAAAUUCGCAUUCAGAGGUAGAAGACAUGCAAAUUGAUGCUGUACGUAUCAAAUCUCUUACUAUAGAAGAAAAAAAGCGAUGUAUGGAAGAAAAUUUAUGCUUGUAUUGCGGUGGAGAAGGCCACAAAGUCGGAAACUGCCCCAAAAAACAAAAUCGAGGCAUAGUCAAGACUAGGGGAGUAUUUGUUCAGGAAAACGAGGAUGCCCAGCCACAAUAGGAAUCGUGCGGCUGGACAAUGAAAUAUCCCAACAACAAUCAGGUUCCUUUCUUUCUACCCAACCUGUCCUUUGUUUUACAAUCCCUCUGUUUAUCGGCCCUCAAAAACUGAGAACCUUAGCACUACUAGACUCAAGAGCAUCUGCUUGUUUUUUAGACGAAGAAUUUGCAAAGCGUCAUAAGAUCCCUUUAGUACAAAAAUCAAAACCUGUUCAUGUUGAGGUCAUAGAUGGGUGACCUUUAUUGUCUGGUAGCAUCACCCAUGAAUCAAAACCUAUAGAAGUAACGUUUAAAGACCAUAGUAGUCAUAUUAUUUUUAAUAUUAUUAGAACCCCAUCAAAUCCUAUUAUUCUUGGUCUUUCUUGGUUGGAAAAACAUAAUCCAUUGAUAGAUUGGAGGUUGCGGAAGAUGACUUUUCCCACAAAACCACCUAAGAAAAAACCUAGUAAAAAACCUCGAAAAAAGAAAUCCUUAUUCAUUGGAGCAAGAGCGUUUAUAAGAUCAUCUAAGGAAGGCACUCCAUUUGUCAUUUAUGCGGCUCCAACUACCGAGGAGAAGAUCUCAACAGUAAGUAUACCGGAGCGAUAUAAAGAUUUUGAAGACGUGUUUCAAAAGAAGAACGCCGACAUACUACCGGAACACCGACCAUAUGAUUGUGCCAUAGACUUGCAAGAAGGAGCACAACCACCUUUUGGCCCAAUCUACAAUCUAUCGCAAAUGGAGUUGGCAGAGUUACGAAAGUACAUCGACGAGAAUCUAGCCAAGAACUUCAUUCGUCAUUCAAAAUCAUCAGCUGGAGCACCCAUCUUAUUUGUGAAGAAGAAAGAUGGAUCAUUACGGAUGUGUGUGGACUAUCGAGGCCUCAACAAGGUAACAAAGAAAAAUCGUUACCCAUUACCCUUGAUUUCUAGUCUCUUAGAACAACUUGGACGUGCGAAGAUCUUUACAAAAAUUGAUCUAAGGGGAGCUUAUAAUCUCGUACGAAUCAAGGAAGGAGAUGAGUGGAAGACAGCAUUUCGUACAAGGUAUGGUCAUUUCGAAUAUAAUGUCAUGCCUUUUGGUCUUACCAAUGCUCCAGCGAUUUUUCAACAUAUGAUGAAUGACAUCUUUCGAGAACACCUCGACGAUUUUGUUGUCAUGUACUUGGACGAUAUUCUAAUAUUCUCUAAAAACGAGGAAGAGCAUGAGGAGCAUGUUCGUUUGGUCUUGGAGAAACUACGCAAGCGAGGACUAUAUGCCAAAUUAGAAAAGUGUUUAUUUCACCAGACGGAGAUGGAAUUUUGGGGUUCAUUGCGACUACAGAAGGUUUGAAGAUGGACCCCAAGAAAGUAGAAGUAAUCAUGUCUUGGGAGGUUCCGAAGACGGUUAGAGACGUACAAUGCUUUCUUGGUUUGCUAACUUCUAUCGGAUCUUCAUCAAGAAUUAUUCUCAAGUUGCUGCUCCUCUCACUCGAUUAACAUGCAAAGAUAAGUUGGAAUGGGGACCUUUGGUGGAGAAGGCGUUUCAAGAUUUGAAGACAGCAUUUACUACAGCUCCAAUUUUGGUACAUCCAAACUUUACAAAGGCCUUCUAUUUAGAAAUUGAUGCUUCAGAUUUUGCUUUGGAAGCUGUGCUUUCACAAAUGAGUGAAGAUAAGAAGCUCCAUCCAGUUGCAUUCUAUUCUCGGAAGUUCUCUGCUGCUGAAAUCAAUUAUGAGAUCCACAAUAAGGAACUUCUUGCUAUAGUGGAUUCUUUCGAAGAAUGGCGUCACUUUCUUGAAGGAGCUGCACAUCCAAUAACCGUAUAUACGGAUCACAAGAAUUUGGAGUAUUUCAUGACGGCUCGAGUUUUAAAUCGGCGUCAAGCUCGGUGGAAUAUGUCGCUAUCUAGAUUCGAUUUUGUUAUCACUUAUCGACCUGGAAGGCAGCAAGGACUAUCCGAUGCUUUAUCAAGGUGAUCGUAUCUUGCACCAAAGGUUGGAAAAGUAGCGUUUGAUCAACAAUGUACAACGUUAUUGAAGCCAGAGAGAUUUCAACUUUGUGCUACUAUUGUAUCAUUUGAUGCUGACUUCCUAAACUAGGUACGUGCUAUGACCAUUAAAGAUUCAGUAGCCAUUGAUAUCAAGCAACGUACUAAUGACGACAAGUUCAAGGUGGAGAGAGAUCUUUUAUACUUUGAAGAGCGAUUGUACAUUCCAAAAGGACUAGCACGACUCCGAGUUCUUCAAUCUCGCCAUGAUUUUCCACCUGCGGGACAUUUUGGAUUCAAUAAGACCUUGGAGCUUAUUUCCCGAGAUUUUUGGUGGCCCCAAAUGUGGAAGGAUGUGAAAGAUUUUGUCCUCUCUUGUGACAUUUGUUCAAGAUCUAAGAAUCCUCGGCAUCGCCCUUUUGGACUUCUACAGCCAUUGCCAAUUCCACGUCGACCAUGGUCUUCAAUUUCUAUGGACUUCAUCACGGACUUGCCAUCAUCAAAUUCAUUUGACACCAUCUUUGUCGUGGUAGAUCGGCUUACGAAGAUGGCACACUUUGUUCCUUGUAAGAAGACUUCAUCUAGUGAAGUCACAGCAAGACUCUUUCUCGAUAAUGUGUAUCGAUAUCAUGGACUACCACAUGAUAUCAUAUCAGAUCGAGGUACCCAAUUCGUGUCAAAGUUUUGGAGAUCUUUCUUUGGGAUAUUGAAGGUGGAUAUCAAGCUUUCUUCAGCUUUUCAUCCUCAAACUGAUGGCCAAACAGAACGGGUGAACUAAGUCUUGGAGCAGUACUUACGAUGCAGCAUCAACUAUCAGCAAGACGAUUGGACUGCAUAUCUAUCACUAGCCGAGUUUGCAUAUAACAACACCCUCCAUGCGUCGAUUCAACAAACACCAUUCUUUUCCAACUAUGGGUAUCAUCCGAAGCUUGAUUUAUUGAGUCCGUCAACAAAUUUCAAUCCAGCAGCUGAAGGAUUUGUGAAGCAACUAUCAGAGCUUCAAACUAUGUUGAAGCUUCAAUUACAAUCCGCUCAAGAAUCCUAUAAGAUGUCUGCAGAUAGAUUUCGGAAUCCAACACCUACUUUCAAAGUUGGAGACAAAGCCUGGCUUCUUCGACGAAAUAUCAAGACCAAGCGACCAUGUGAUAAGUUGGACUAUCGAAGAUUGGGACCAUUUAUCAUCCAGAAGCAAAUUAAUCCAGUGGCAUACCGGCUGGAGUUACCGGCUUCUAUGAAGGUACAUCCAGUCUUUCAUGUUUCUCUGUUGGAACCUUAUCGAGAGUCAUCUUUUCCUGGAAGAGUGCAAUGUCCGCCACCUAGUAUUGAAAUCGAGAACCACGAAGAAUACGAGGUUGAAAAGGUAUUGGAUUCACGGCGAAGGUGGGGAAAGUUAGAAUAUCUUGUUCAUUGGUGUGGCUAUGACAUUAAUGAGCGAACAUGGGAGCCAGCUGAAAAUCUUGCGAAUGCGCCACAAAAGGUACAGGAGUUUCAUCAACGACAUCCCGAUAAACCUAAAUCAAUUCGAUGAUAGCUUCUUUCUGAAGCUUGUUCUCCCAACAAUAUAAGAAAAAGGGAGAGCACCAGCAAAAUUCAUAGUUGAUGUAGUUAUUUUCUCCAAGAUAGAUCGUAGUUUGGUCUUUUGAUAUGGAUAGCCAAGAGAUAGAUACUAUGCCAGUCAGAGUAUCGCAACCGAGUAGCUCACGAAGGCGACCCCGAGAUGAAGAACUACAUGUACCACGACGACGACGGAGGAUACCGAGUAAUCGAUCACUGGUGAUCGUAUUUGAGAUCGAGCCUACUUACGAUGGUCAACCAGAAGGCGUGUUUGCAGGACAAUUUCACAAUGAGGACACGGAAGUUCAUGCUUGGUCAGAAGUCGAAGGCGUGGGCCACUACCGUUGGCUUCAAGGGUCGAUGAAUCACUUACCUCGUGAACAACAGUUGGAGUUCAUAGCAAAAGUUAUGCGACAGAUCUUCAUUUUCUUGCGUUGGUACUGAUCAACAACAUUGCUUCUCAGAGACCUCGAAGCUAAAGGACGGGAUGAUGUUAGGGACAUAUUCCUUAGAACUUUCUAGAGAGAGGUUUCUAGAACCUUCUAGAAAACAAGCCUCUGGAACCUUCUAGAAGAGAAGCCUCUGGAACCUUUUAGAGAGAAGUUUCUAGAAGCUUCUAGAAAGGAAGUCUCUGGAACCUUCUAGAAGAGAAGUUUCUAGAAGCUUCUAGAAAGGAAUCUCCUAGAACUUUCUAGAAGCUUCCUAGUUAAUAAAAGUAGCUCGAGAAGUUUCUAGAAGCUUCUAGAAAGGAAUCUCCUAGAACUUUCUAGAAGCUUCCUAGUUAAUAAAAGUAGCUCGAGAAGUUUCUAGAACCUUCUAGAAAGGAAGCCUCUGGAACCUUCUAGAAGCUUCCUAGUUAAUAGAAGUAGCUCGAGAAGCUUCCUAAGUAGGAGUAUAUAUAGGGAUCGAGGCUGAAGAGUUCUUCAGUCUCGACAACACAUCUCUUGGAGUUCUAGCUCACCUUUCUGGUGUUGUUCUUGUACUCAUAUGUUUAAUCUAGUUCUACCACUUCUUCUUGAAUUUCUUGUUAGAUUUCAAGUCUGUAUUUUGUGUCCGUGACAGUUACACCACAUACUAAAAAGAUCUAUAGUGAGUUUUUAAACCUCUCUCACAAAUGACUACUCAUCCUACAUUAGUAAGUAAGUUAGAAGGAAUUGAGGAUUCAAGGAUGAUAGUAGAAAAAUCCAUGGGCAUUGUUCUUGGUGCAACAAGAAGUCAUGAUGAAGGAGAAGGGGAGAGCAACCAUACAAUAAGCUUCACCUUAUACUAAUGUAGCCCUUUAUAUAGGCACUAUGACAAACUAUAAUAUGGUU
This 6243-nucleotide long non-coding RNA is filed under the name Physcomitrium patens. Its description in RNAcentral is "long non-coding RNA (PPAT_LNC006567)". Lineage: Eukaryota; Viridiplantae; Streptophyta; Bryopsida; Funariales; Funariaceae. The record is from RNAcentral.